This is a long non-coding RNA of Columba livia (rock pigeon), 3514 nucleotides long. RefSeq lists it as uncharacterized. NCBI's taxonomy places the organism in Eukaryota, Metazoa, Chordata, Aves, Columbiformes, Columbidae. The transcript has 4 exons. The record is from RefSeq and is a predicted model, not a curated record.
GAAUGUGGGAUACAGAAGCCUUUAGUGAUAAAAAGGGAACUCCAUGCUGCAGAAAACUGUGGCCCAAGAGAAAGCACUACAGGUGCAGUGUCACGCAUUAACAGGUGUCUCCAAGAAGGACUGACAAAAGGACCCUAAUACUGUCACAAGUAAACUUAGUCACCAGAGUGAGCCUCUCGCUCCUAACGAACAGGUCCCACAGCCCUGUGGGGCACCCUCCCUUAUCUUGCUCCUCUCAACGCCUGGUUUCCAGGAAAGGCUGCAAGCUACUGACUUCCGCCGGGGAGGAGAGUGCCCGCUAGCUCUCCCAGGCAGGAUCUGCAGGGAAACUUUCCCUUCCCCUUCCAUGGCUCGCUGCCGGGAGAGCAGCGGGGCCCCGCUGCGAGCGGGUGGGGGGAGGUUGCCGGGGCGCCCGGGCCGGCGCUCCUCGCUGCCUCGGGCUCUCGGGGCCGCCGGUGUCUCCGUCCCUCCCUUCCCUGCGCUUGAAUGGAGCCCUUCGCCUUCAGAGGAGUCUCGUACACGGCUGGGAAGGAGACUCCUAGGACCCCGCGAAGAGGCUGGGGAGGGGAACAGCACCAGGUCACGGUAACCGUUGGUCAGAUUUAUGAAAAGAGGAAAACCCCCAAUUCUCAUUAAAAUAAAACAUGAAGUAAUGGAGAGCUCUUUCCGGAGAAGCCGGGGGAGGAAAGGAUGAGAAGCCAGGACCGGGGCACCCCAGGCCUCCCUCGGGAGCAGGAGCAGCCAAACCCCAAACAGCGUUUGCCCUCUCCGGGUACGCAGCCCGCGGAGCUGCCGGCGGAGCUCACGCAGCGCCGGUGCUGCGGGAAGGCGGCUCGGCACCCCGGCUCUCCCCCCCUCCCGGCCCGGCCGCGCUGCCCCGGGCUCCGCGGCAGCACCCGGACCAGCCCCGCCCGACAGGUAGAGCUGAGGCACCCCUCAGCUGCACUCCUGUAAGCACUCAGUGCUGCCCUGGAAGGAUACCUGCUUUUGAAUUUGAGAAGUCAGGCGAGGAUCUCCAUUUGGGAAAAAGAAACUGACAGAAGACAAAAGAACCAGCAAAGAGGAUAAUGGAUUAUCCACUGUCAUGUCUCAUCUGGAAGUUAUCUAAAGACUGCUUUGUAUAGGGUGCCAAGAGCCAACAUCCAUUUCUAAGGCAUAUCCCAUACUGUCUGCACAGGAGCAUCUCACUAUCCCUACGUACAGCAUAGAUCACCUACCUCUGAGUAACACAAAACCGAGGAUGGAUUAGUCCUGCGUUAUCAGUCCUUUAAUACCAGAGCCAACGUUUCUCCUUUUGCAGGGAAGUGCCAGCUCAAAUUCAGCUUCUCUUGCAGGCUGCAACCUGUGUUAGCCUGCUGAUGCCUUCCACCAUGGGCAAGGCUCCUCUCACCACCAGGCUGCUCCAGCCAUUUCAAAGACACCUGUGGCAUCUUCACCCACUGCCUUUACACAAGCUGUUUUGAAGUCUUCUUUAGCAGCUGCCCCUCAUUAGCUGCUUGGUGGAGGAGCAAGAGGGAAGAAGAGGGAGGAGAGCUCAUUGGGGUAUUAUUAACCCUUCCUGGACGACUGCUGUGGUGUGAAGUGUAUAUUCUUCAUCAUGUCUUUCGUAGUUCCAACUGGUGUGACUGGGGGAAGAAGUUUCUAAUUGUGAGAUGAAAGCAGGCUGAAAGUUAUACCUUCUUAAUUAUAAACUGCAUAAAGACCUACCUAUGGCUGGAAGGUUACCUAUUAAAGUAACACAAACAGAUAUCUUAAAGUGAUGUCAUGUAGUUGGCCUGCAUUGGUACUGGUCUCAGUUGUCAGUUCCUGAAAUCAGAUAUAACCAUCUUCCUACAUCUGCAGCUCACAAAAAAUGUGUUUAACUUCCUGGCAGAAUGGUGUGGUAAAGAUAUUUCUUGAAGAAAAUCUCAACUAUUGCUUUUUUUUUUUUUUUUUUUUUGACAAUUGCUCAGAAAUACCAAUGCUAAAUGAUCUCAUUCUACUUUUUGAUUGAUUGAUGUCAUUAUGAAAACAAAAAUAUUUCCCCAGAUCUUGGUUCUGACUUGAUCUUGUAUUAAAAAAAGCUAUCAGGAAAGUAAUUGCAUUUUGAAAUGUAUAAAACGUGCAAAUUUUUGUUUAUCUGUGUGAGUUGUUAUGUGUGUGUAUUUUAAGUUUAGAAGCAGAAAAAGAAGAAAGUACCUGUCAAUGAGACAAAACAUCUUCAUUUUGGGUACACAGAGAUAUAUCUUGGUUUCAAUAAGGACUAAAAACGUAUCAUUUGGGGGAGGAGGGGCGGUGGGAACUACACAGUAGAAAAUCUGUGCUGAACAUUGUUCCUUAUACAGUAACAUGUGAUUACGUUCAAAUCUCCUCUUUCCCCUUUAUUAAAUAAUGUACGGCACAAAAAUAAAAAAAUAAUAAAAUGUCUGGAUGCUCAGAAAUGAAUAAAGGUGAAUAAAGGUAUCUUUUAGAUACUGUAAUAAAAUCUUCUAUUAGAACUGUUGCUAGCACAACAGUUGCUCAAAUUGCAUUUUUAAAAUGUACAUCUGCCUUGUCUCUCGGAUGCUCUGAGGACAGAUAGAUCUUUAAUCUCUGCAGACACAAAUAAGCACUCCAGAAUUUGAUGGGUUUUAUACAAUAGGUUGAAUUAACCCUGCAUAGUAAGGCACUCUGCACAUCCAGUACAAGUAUACAUUGUGUUGUAUGGAUUCUCAUUUCCAGAUGUCAGUAUUCUUACUCAGGCUACUUGUUAUUUCUUGUAGCAAUAAAGACACUUGCACCUUCAAGCUUCAAGGCUUUGGCAGAAAAAAAAUCCUUUGUCAUUUAUUACUACUAACUUAAAUAUUUGUUCAGCUCUAUCUAUUGAUGUUAGCUGAGGACAGCAGUUUUAUAAAGUAUGAGAACCAAAGAGAAGUGGUCUUUUACUGGUUUGUGGCCUUCAGCAGGUGCCGGGCUCAAAAGAGCCAGAGCAAAGCACUGUGGUCGCUGUAGCACUUGUAGCCCCUAGUGCAUGGUCAGCUCCUUGGAACCUGAGAACACUUGAAAAUGAGAUAACAAGCUUGUCAAAGAUGGAAGCUGGGGUGCCCUGGUUGAACUCCUUACCCGCAGUAUACUUCUUCUGUGGGCUUGGGCAAACCUCUGUGCUGCAGGCUCAUGAGUAGUGUCUCAGUGGAGCAGGGUAUGCAAUGAGUGAGACACUGCUCUGAGGAAAGUGUGGGGGAAGUCACCAACCAAAUCUCCCUGUAAAAUAAAAAAGUAAGCUAGGUGCAGAGGAAGAUGCUUCCCAUCAGGCAGCAUACUCAGGAGAAGGAAUCAAGCCGACUGCUGAGAAGUCCUGAGGAGAAAGGGGUAUCUCCCUUCCCAGAGCCCUCCAGUGCUUGGACACACACUUACCUGCAAACCUAAAUGGUAAAAUUUGGUUUCAUAGCAUGAAAGUCCUUUCUGAGAUCUGAUUUUGGAUAAUAAGCUCAUUCCCUUCAAAUUUGUGAUGGUGUCACUGUUAAAUGCAGGGCAACAAUAAACUGUGGCAGAUGCU